RNAcentral lists this ribosomal RNA (254 nucleotides) under uncultured bacterium. RNAcentral's name for it is "partial 16S ribosomal RNA". It matches the Rfam family "Bacterial small subunit ribosomal RNA", at positions 524 to 776 of the family's 1533-position model. The record is from RNAcentral.
CACGGGGGGAGCAAGCGUUGUUCGGAUUUACUGGGCGUAAAGGGCGCGUAGGCGGUCAGCACAAGUCAGUUGUGAAAUCUCCGGGCUUAACCCGGAAAGGUCAACUGAUACUGUGCGACUAGAGUGCGGAAGGGGCAACUGGAAUUCUCGGUGUAGCGGUGAAAUGCGUAGAUAUCGAGAGGAACACCUGCGGCGAAGGCGGGUUGCUGGGCCGACACUGACGCUGAGGCACGAAAGCGUGGGGAUCAAACAGG